RNAcentral lists this long non-coding RNA (1513 nucleotides) under Cyanistes caeruleus (blue tit). Its description in RNAcentral is "lncRNA (ENSCCEG00000007117.1)". Lineage: Eukaryota; Metazoa; Chordata; Aves; Passeriformes; Paridae. The record is from RNAcentral.
CGGUUCGGAAUUCCCGAGAGGUUUUCCCGGUUUUCCCACGGGAAAAAUUGGGAUUUGGGAUUCCAAUCCUGGCUGGGAUUCCUUGGAUCCCUUUCCCAAUCCUGGCAAUUUUGGGUUUUGUUCGUUCCCAAAGGAAAAAUUUCGUUCCCAUUUUUUUUUUCCCCAUUUUUUUCCAAUUUUUUUCCCAUUUUUUCCUCAUCUUUUUCCCCAUUUUUCCCCAUUUUUUCCCCAUUUUUUCCCAGGUUUUUUCCCAUUUUUUCCCAAUUUUUUUCCCAGGUUUUUUCCCAAUUUUUCCCCAUUUUUUUCCAAUUUUUUUCCCAUUUUUCCCCCAUUUUUUUCCCAUUUUUUCCCCAUUUUUUUCCCAUUUUUUCCCAAUUUUUUUCCCAUUUUUUUUCCAAUUUUUUUCCCAUUUUUUUCCAUUUUUUCCCAUUUUUUCCCCAGGUUUUUUCCCAUUUUUUCCAAUUUUUUCCCAAUUUUUUUCCCAUUUUCCCCCCAUUUUUUUUCCCAUUUUUUCCCAUUUUUUUUUCCCAUUUUUUUUCCUAUUUUUUCCCCAUUUUUUUCCCAGGUUUUUUCCCAUUUUUUCCCCAUUUUUUUCCUAGUUUUCUUUCCCUUUUCCCAAUUUUUUCCUCCUUUUUUUUUUCCUCCUCCUCCUCCUCCCUCGGGAGUGUCCGAACUUCAUUCCCGGGGAUCCUCCGGAAUUCCCGGCCUCCGGAUCCAGGAAUUCCCUCCCAGCAAAAAAAACAAAAUUCCAGGAAAAUCAAACGAAAAUCCCAAAAAAAAAAAAAAAAAAGUUGGAUUUUGCUGGAAAAGCUUCCCCAGUCCCUUCCGGAUCCGGGAAUUCCUGGGAAGAGCCCCCAGGAAUCCCGGAAUUCCCAAAUCUUUCCCCCGAAUCCGGCGUUCCCGGGGGGUUUUUUAUGUACACGGCGCCAAAUCCCGGCCUGGGAGCCCAUCCCGGAAUUCCGGGAAUUCUGAGAUUCCCGGGAACGCUGAGGGCUGGUCCCGGAAUCCUGGGAAUUCCGGGAAUUCCGGGAAUGCUCCCUUCUCCUCGGCUCCCUGCUGGGCUCGGAUGAAGCCAAUCCCAGGAAUUCCAGGAAUCCCAGAAUUCCCGGGAAUCCUCAGUUCUCCUCGGCCCCCUGCCGGGCGCGGAUGAACGCCAUUCCGUGGGUCCGGAAAUGCGUUUUCAGGUUGAGCUGACUCUCGAAUCCUCUCCCGCAAACUUUGCACUCCAACUUCCCCUGCGCCGCUCCGCCUGUUCCUCCGCCUGUUCCUCCGCCUGUUCCUCCGCCUGUUCCCCCGGCUGUUCCCCCGGCUGCUCCCCCGGCGGAACCGGCGCCGCCCCCUCGGGAGGCGCUUCCCGGCUCCUCGGCGGGAUCCGAGCCCUUGCGCUUCUUGUGGGAGAUGAAGCGGUGCCGGCUGAGGGAGCCGGGGGAGGCGAAGCACAGCCCGCACUCCCGGCACUGCUGGCUGCCCGUCGCCGUGGCUGCGCCGCUUGUUCCGGUUGCGCUCGCGGUGU